ACUAACACAAGAAAAUUAAAAUUAAAACUAAAAAUGUCGAUAUAACUCGGUUUGUUGUUGAAAAUCACUGGUUCACCUUUACGCGCUUGAAUUUCGUGGAUCUUUUGUGCCUUGGAACCUCCCAAAAGCUCCUUUUAUAGCCUAGAAAAAUGUUCCAAAUUUGGCAACUUUUAGGUGUGGGAUGUUUACCGUAUCUACACAUCUGCCACAAAUCAGGCUUGCAGUAUUGCAGUCCUGAUUUACGACACUAAGGAGGCAAUUUGCGGAAGCUCUUGGCUACCACAUGGAGAUCUGUGCUAGGGAAGGUUUGCCAUAAAUUAAGCCUCCCCCUUAAUGCAAAUUGGUCUUACGGUACUACAAGGCCAAUUUGCAGCAAGGAGACUGCUUUCGCGAUAGCUCCCUAUCUCUGGAACUACGGGUACUUCUAACUUUCGAUUCUUCCGUUUUUGUAGAUUCCUCUGUAUGGGUACUUCUAAGCCAUCCAAAGGAUAUAAAGGUCACGCGUUCACAGAUGCCCCUCACUAUAUGCAUUUUUGUAAAGUGGGUAUAGUGAUAGUGAGGAUAUGGAAAUUCUAUCAGUUCGAACACAUAUGACAAUAAAAUACAUGCAAGAUAGUAUGAUUAUCUUUUUUUUUUUAGCCUAUUUCAAUAGUUUUAAAAGUUUCAUCUAAUUUAUUUUAGGUCUGAUAUCUUUAAUGUGUUUUUAUUUUUAGUAAAAUCACCAUACGAGGUACAUCCUAAGAGGUGCAUGAAUACUUAAAAAAUUGAUACAAAUCAUACAAGAUCAGAAAAAUUACCCAUGUGUGACUUUAAGGUCGGAUGCAUCCAAAACCACAUUUUAUGGCUUUUAAGUGGACCAAAGCCCCCUCCCCUCCCUAUAAGUAGGGGUGCUUCUUCAUUUCUCACCAUUUCUUCAUUCUUAUUUCUCUCUCUAGAAAUUUUACAUAUAUGCCUUUCUCUUGCUUCCAAGAUGGCUUCCAGCUGAGGUCCCUCCCAGAUCCGUCAGGAUGGCUACCAAGCGCCACAAGAGAUUGUUGAUCCUAGCAAUCUGUUACAGGAACUAAAGACUCACAUCUCCCAAUCUUUCAUAAUCUAGGAUGCUGCUCUAUGCUACAAGGGAAGCCUUAAAACACCUGGAGUUUGCGCACAACUAUAUGGUCAUGCAUUUAGAUGUGAUGCAACUUGCCAUGCCCAUUGGGUUGCACCAUAUGGCUAACAUCCUUAUAGAGUAAUUUGCUAACAUUUUUUUUAUUAAUGCUGAGAAAGAGAUGGCGGGACACCACCAACACCUUCCAUUUUCCUUGUGGGGAGAUGACCAUGACCCCCAAGGACUUAUUCCUUUAUUAUGUCUAGCCUUUCAGCAGUAGGGAUUGGAGUUCUUCAGCGACUGAAAUGAAAAACUAUAUGAGGAGCAGCUUAAUAAUCUGCUUAGCUUAAUCCUUCAACCCCCCGACACUCAUGUUCCACGGGCCUUGCUGGAGUCUUACCUUAUGCAAUGGUCUUUCCUGCGCAGGCCACCUACUUGUGGUUACCUGUAACGAUCCAGAACCAGUUCACAUGAGAUAUUGUUCAUUUUGGCGGGUUCGAGAACUUCCUAAGAGGUCUCCCAUCCUGAAAUUUCUCUGAACCAAGCACGUUUAACUUUGGAGUUCCUACAACAACAAGACCAAACAAUCAAAAGGUGCUUCAUUUGAUUAGUUCUAACUCUUUACAUAUAUGUUAUCAACUAUUCCCCAUCCCAUUUCAAUGUGCAAUUCGAUUCAUUCAUGUACCCCGUACCUUAAAGUGUUGCCAUCGUAGAAGCCUGCCAAAAGCCGCUCCUUGUCCAAGCAUCCUAUCUUUUCUUUACCCUGGCGUUCACUAUCCGCCCUCGUCAGACCGCUUCUCUAGACCAGGCUGUCACAUUACCCUUCUAAUAGCGGACAACUCUUUCUAUCACACUGAACGUAGUAUUGUGAGCCUCGACAUUCUUUGUUUAUUCUAUUGUAUACUUUGAUCUAACAAAUUAUCAAAUUCUCAACAUCAUCCCCAUUGAGGUUCUA
This is a long non-coding RNA of Ricinus communis (castor bean), 2042 nucleotides long. RefSeq lists it as uncharacterized. The record is from RefSeq and is a predicted model, not a curated record. The transcript has 2 exons. NCBI's taxonomy places the organism in Eukaryota, Viridiplantae, Streptophyta, Magnoliopsida, Malpighiales, Euphorbiaceae.